UACGGAAUGUGCAAACGUUAUUCGGAAUCACUGGGCUUAAAGAGUCCGUAGGCGGCUUGUUAGGUGAGGUGUGAAAGCCCUCGGCCCAACCGAGGAAUUGCGCUUCAAACCGGCAAGCUAGAGGAGGAUAGAGGUGGGCGGAACUGAUGGUGGAGCGGUGAAAUGCGUUGAUAUCAUCAGGAACACCGGAGGCGAAGGCGGUCCACUGGGUCCUUUCUGACGCUGAGGGACGAAAGCUAGGGGAGCGAACGGG
This 253-nucleotide ribosomal RNA is filed under the name uncultured bacterium. Its description in RNAcentral is "partial 16S ribosomal RNA". It matches the Rfam family "Bacterial small subunit ribosomal RNA", at positions 524 to 776 of the family's 1533-position model. The record is from RNAcentral.